RNAcentral lists this ribosomal RNA (487 nucleotides) under uncultured bacterium. RNAcentral's name for it is "bacterial SSU rRNA". It matches the Rfam family "Bacterial small subunit ribosomal RNA", at positions 28 to 507 of the family's 1533-position model. The record is from RNAcentral.
GAUGAACGCUAGCUACAGGCUUAACACAUGCAAGUCGAGGGCAGCAUGAACUUAGCUUGCUAAGUUUGAUGGCGACCGGCGCACGGGUGAGUAACACGUAUCCAACCUGCCGAUGACUCGGGGAUAGCCUUUCGAAAGAAAGAUUAAUACCCGAUGGCAUAAUUCUUCCGCAUGGUAGAACUAUUAAAGAAUUUCGGUCAUCGAUGGGGAUGCGUUCCAUUAGAUAGUAGGCGGGGUAACGGCCACCUAGUCUUCGAUGGAUAGGGGUUCUGAGAGGAAGGUCCCCCACAUUGGAACUGAGACACGGUCCAAACUCCUACGGGAGGCAGCAGUGAGGAAUAUUGGUCAAUGGGCGAGAGCCUGAACCAGCCAAGUAGCGUGAAGGAUGACUGCCCUAUGGGUUGUAAACUUCUUUUAUAAAGGAAUAAAGUCGGGUAUGGAUACCCGUUUGCAUGUACUUUAUGAAUAAGGAUCGGCUAACUCCGUG